AUACAUCGAACAAGCCUCCUAAGAAGCCACAGAUUUGUUAUCUCUAUAGGCUUGGUAAGAAUGCCAAGAAUCACAGAUCACUAACAAAAUAUCGGAUGAGUCUUGCAAUGACCAAUGAUGGCACUGCACUCAAGUGCCAUAAAUCAAAAGGGCCUCCCAAGAGGCCUUCGGCUUAUUACCAAAAGGGCCAAUGAAAGACUUAGUUGAACUAGGCUCAGAUGGGAGGAAGCACACCUGCCAUGAUCAUCCAGAUGCUAGCUAUUUAAAAAACACAACCAAUUAAAGACCCAGAGGGCCAAACUACCUAUUUCUUCAGGAAAAGGGAACAACACAUUGAGAUGAGGAGUAAACGUUUGACCAACUGACCAAAGAUCUAGAAGGCAAAACUAUCUACCUAUUUAGGAAAGGGGAAUAAGGCGUUGGGAUGAGAAGUGACAUAUGACUAACUAACCAAAGACUAAGAAGAUCAAACUACCUGCCUCUUUAGAAAAGAAGAACAAGGCAUCAAGAUCAGGAGCCGAGCUUUGACCAAACAACUAAAGAUCUGGAGGGCCAAACAAAUCCACUUCUUCAAGCAGGAGAAUAAGGCACUGAGGUAGGAAAUCAAGCUAUAAGUAGCAAUGGAGUAGACAUGAUCGAGUGAUGAGUGGGGGCAAAGAUUUGAGCUUACCACAAAUAUGAC
Molecule: long non-coding RNA, 682 nt
Filed under: Elaeis guineensis (African oil palm)
Lineage: Eukaryota; Viridiplantae; Streptophyta; Magnoliopsida; Arecales; Arecaceae
Description: long non-coding RNA (EGUI_LNC049440)
Source: RNAcentral